GACGAACGCUGGCGGCGUGCUUAACACAUGCAAGUCGAACGGAAAGGCCCUGCUUUUGUGGGGUGCUCGAGUGGCGAACGGGUGAGUAACACGUGAGUAGCCUGCCCUUGACUUUGGGAUAACUUCAGGAAACUGGGGCUAAUACCGGAUAGGAGCUCCUGCUGCAUGGUGGGGGUUGGAAAGUUUCGGCGGUUGGGGAUGGACUCGCGGCUUAUCAGCUUGUUGGUGGGGUAGUGGCUUACCAAGGCUUUGACGGGUAGCCGGCCUGAGAGGGUGACCGGCCACAUUGGGACUGAGAUACGGCCGAGACUCCUACGGGAGGCAGCAGUGGGGAAUAUUGCACAAUGGGCGGAAGCCUGAUGCAGCAACGCCGCGUGCGGGAUGACGGCCUUCGGGUUGUAAACCGCUUUCGCCUGUGACGAAGCGUGAGUGACGGUAAUGGGUAAAGAAGCACCGGCUAACUACGUG
RNAcentral lists this ribosomal RNA (468 nucleotides) under uncultured bacterium. Its description in RNAcentral is "partial 16S ribosomal RNA". It matches the Rfam family "Bacterial small subunit ribosomal RNA", at positions 28 to 507 of the family's 1533-position model. The record is from RNAcentral.